Long non-coding RNA from Gopherus evgoodei (Goodes thornscrub tortoise), 473 nucleotides. RefSeq lists it as uncharacterized. The record is from RefSeq and is a predicted model, not a curated record. Lineage: Eukaryota; Metazoa; Chordata; Testudines; Testudinidae. The transcript is spliced from 3 exons.
UUCUCUGACUUGUGAGCACGUCUGCUAGCCAAAGUCACCUGACUAUAUUAUUUGAACAGGAAAAGCUGUUGCAUCCAAGCUGGAAACAUUGUUAAGAUUUUCUGCGGAAACAAAUGGCUAUGGUUUUUCAUCAUGAGGGUCUGUAGCACAAGAGAUUUCAGUGCCUCCAGCCACACAGAACAAAACCCUUGUAUCCUGCAGCAGUGACCGGCAGUCAGCAAUGGCAUGGGGCUCAGAUGUUUGCAGAAUGCACUCCUGCAAGGUGUCCACCAGGAUAUUUGUUGUUACAGGCAAAUAAACAAUGGGUAACAGGAAAUGUCCUUUGGAUAAGGCAGCCCGGUGAUGUAUGACUGUGAAAGGAAGAGAAGACAAGGCUGGUAGUUUAAACAGAGAUGUUACAGGUCAGCUCUGGUGACUGCUGAGUUACCUGUUCUGGGAAGUGCUGCCAUUUGCCUGCUAGAAAUCAAAGCUGA